Molecule: long non-coding RNA, 221 nt
Organism: Pyrgilauda ruficollis (rufous-necked snowfinch)
Lineage: Eukaryota; Metazoa; Chordata; Aves; Passeriformes; Passeridae
Exons: 3
Source: RefSeq, a predicted model, not a curated record
AGUGGAGUGCCUGAAGGAGAUUUUCACGGGAUGCAGCCGGGACCGGGACCAGAACCAGAACCAGAACAACCCCCCCGAGGCCGAGAGCUGCCCCAGCCCCAGCGCCAGCAACGGUGACUCCGGCAGCAUCAACGGCUCCUUGGAAUUCCGGGCGGAUCCGGACGCUGGGCAGAGGGACGGGAAUGGGAACCAGGUCCCGCCGAGGGGAUCCCAGGAGGUGA